CCUAACACAUGCAAGUUCGGUACGAUUAAGGUCUCCUCUCGGGAACUGGAGAGUGGCGCACGGGUGAGUAACGCGUGGGGACCUACCUCUUAGUGGGGGAUAACGGUUGGAAACGACCGCUAAUACCGCAUACGCCCUCCGGGGGAAAGAUUUAUCGCUAAGAGAUGGACCCGCGUUGGAUUAGAUAGUUGGUGAGGUAACGGCUCACCAAGUCAGCGAUCCAUAGCUGGUUUGAGAGGAUGAUCAGCCACACUGGGACUGAGACACGGCCCAGACUCCUACGGGAGGCAGCAGUGGGGAAUAUUGGACAAUGGGGGCAACCCUGAUCCAGCCAUGCCGCGUGAGUGAAGAAGGCCUUCGGGUUGUAAAGCUCUUUCAGAUGCGAAGAUGAUGACGGUAACAUCAGAAGAAGCCCCGGCUAAUUUCGUGCCAGCAGCCGCGGUAAUACGAAAGGGGCUAGCGUUGUUCGGAUUUACUGGGCGUAAAGGGCACGCAGGCGGUCUUGCCAGUCAGGGGUGAAAGCCCGGGGCUCAACCCCGGAACUGCCUCUGAUACUGCAAGACUAGAGACUAGGAGAGGGUGGUGGAAUUCCC
RNAcentral lists this ribosomal RNA (593 nucleotides) under uncultured bacterium. RNAcentral describes it as "bacterial SSU rRNA". It matches the Rfam family "Bacterial small subunit ribosomal RNA", at positions 47 to 671 of the family's 1533-position model. The record is from RNAcentral.